This 400-nucleotide long non-coding RNA is filed under the name Mytilus galloprovincialis (Mediterranean mussel). The record is from RNAcentral. Lineage: Eukaryota; Metazoa; Mollusca; Bivalvia; Mytilida; Mytilidae.
UGGUGGACUUUUCAACUACAGUAUAUGGCUAUAGGUAUUCGUAGAUUAUUUUUGUGCUUGUGAGAUAUUAAGCAUAUGACUGUAAUUGAAUCUGGCAUGUUUAAGUUGACUAGCAAAUAAAUCAUAUUUUAAACUGGUGCAAUGCACCGCCGUGAACUUGCCGUUAGAUGGGUGCUUUUACUCUCUGUAGUAAGAUAAGCGCCGUUUUUUUGCUUUGAUUUUUUUCCUUGUUUGUUUGUUUGUUUAUUUAGUGUUUUCAAUGAUUAUUUUUCUGUGUUUUAUUCUGGGUAAUUUUUUUUACGUUCGGUUUCAAAAACAUAUUUCGUGAUUAAAUGGGAAUGUUAGAAAUAACGAGGCAGCAACCGAGCGACAUACAAAUGGUACUAUGUUAUGAUUUCUU